AACACAUUUAUUAAAUCAGAUUAUAGCAGAUUUUACAGUGCAGAGUGAUGUCAUGCACAUGGUUGCAGACUGCUACACCAUUCUUUAUUAUGAAAUUAAAAUCCUGUAAGAAAUCCCCUUUUUGCCGGAUGUGUCUGUAAUCUGAUUUACAUUUUCUUUUUUACUGCUAUAAUCAGAAUAUAUAUACGCAAACACACACACACAUAUGCAUGUAGUCAUCAUGUUAUAUUAAAGUACUUCCUCCUCUCUCCAGGUGAACAGUGGGACUUGUCUUCAGCUUCAGGUGCAACAGCUCUGACCUGUAUGGUGAUCAGACCCAGAGAGGAGAGACACCUGGUCCAACAAGGUGACGGACGAGCAGCUGAGACGAAUAAGACGAGCCGCCACAGGACCUGGAGCAGGAAAACUGAGUAUCGUCUUCUGAUGAAACUCCUUCAGGUCGUGCAGUUGUUUGUUGGCUCUGGUUUCACCUGCUCAGACAGUGAGCACUGUUGUCUUUGCUGGUGAUUUACAUAAUAAAACCUUUUUUGAAUUACACUCUAUUGUGGUUUUUAUAGAUUUUUAAAGAACGUGUUGAGUCUUUUGAUGGAGUCCAAUGUCUCCUCUCAGUGGCAUUUUCAAAGCUUUAACUAUAUUCGAUGUAUACAUUUUCUUUCUGUAAUGGAGAGCAGGGCUUCCAUUACCUUCAGUAUCUGUUUCUAUUCUGGAAAUGACUGCUAUAGAAACCAUGUGUUGUUUAAUGUCAGAGUAAGUUAGCCUCUCUCCAUCUCUUAUCACAUGAAUGAAGCUAACAGCAGCUGUGAGAGUUUAUAACGUUUUACCAGCAGCUGAUAUGAAAUAUACCUGCAGUGCUGCCUGUGAUGUCACCAAGCAGACAGAUAAAAGCUCAUGUUGAGCAGCUACAGUAGUUUAUAUGAUCAUUAUGCAGCCUCAUUGUUACCUGCACUUUAAAAUCAUAUUACUGGUCUGUAAAGCACUAAAUGUUCUCAGGACUGAACACAUUUGGUUUACUUGUACGGGGAUCGGGAGGGUUAUUUAAAAUGUUUGUUCUGAUACAGUUACUUAUUUAAAAAUAGUCAGUAAUGUAAUUGAAGUAAAACUGUCUACUCAUCUAAUUCAUAACUGUUCACUGUGUAUUUCAAAUAAGUACAUUAAGACAUAAAACACAACACAUAAGCACAAACAAGUCAAAUAAGACAACCACUACUCCAGACCAUGGCAGGUUGAUAGCAUAUUAAUAUAGCACCCUGAUAAUUUGUUUAUAUGGGUUUAUAUAAUUACUUUAUUUACUUCA
Molecule: long non-coding RNA, 1294 nt
Filed under: Sparus aurata (gilthead seabream)
Lineage: Eukaryota; Metazoa; Chordata; Actinopteri; Spariformes; Sparidae
Description: lncRNA (ENSSAUG00010001166.1)
Source: RNAcentral